Molecule: ribosomal RNA, 486 nt
Filed under: uncultured bacterium
Lineage: Bacteria
Description: partial 16S ribosomal RNA
Rfam family: Bacterial small subunit ribosomal RNA
Source: RNAcentral
AUUGAACGCUGGCGGCAUGCCUUACACAUGCAAGUCGAACGGCAGCACGGUUGCUUGCACCUGGUGGCGAGUGGCGAACGGGUGAGUAAUACAUCGGAACAUGUCCUGUAGUGGUGGAUAGCCCGGCGGAAGCCGGAUUAAUACCGCAUACGAACUACGGAUGAAAGCGGGGGCCCUUCGGGCCUCGCGCUAUCGGGUUGGCAGAUGCCUGAUUAGCUAGUUGGUGGGGUAAAGGCCUACCAAGGCGACGAUCAGUAGCUGGUCUGAGAGGACGAUCAGCCACACUGGGACUGAGACACGGCCCAGACUCCUACGGGAGGCAGCAGUGGGGAAUUUUGGACAAUGGGCGAAAGCCUGAUCCAGCAAUGCCGCGUGUGUGAAGAAGGCCUUCGGGUUGUAAAGCACUUUUGUCCGGAAAGAAAUCCUUGGGCCUAAUACGGUCGGGGGAUGACGGUACCGGAAGAAUAAGCACCGGCUAACUACGUG